This 468-nucleotide ribosomal RNA is filed under the name uncultured bacterium. RNAcentral's name for it is "partial 16S ribosomal RNA". It matches the Rfam family "Bacterial small subunit ribosomal RNA", at positions 28 to 507 of the family's 1533-position model. The record is from RNAcentral.
GACGAACGCUGGCGGCGUGCUUAACACAUGCAAGUCGAACGGAAAGGCCCUGCUUUUGUGGGGUGCUCGAGUGCCGAACGGGUGAGUAACACGCGUGUAACACGCACUUAUCUUUGGGAUAACUUCAGGAAACUGCGGCUAAUACCGGAUAGGAGCUCCUGCUGCAUGGUGGUGGAUGGAAAGUUUCGGCUGUGGUGGCUGGUCUGGCGGCUUAUCCGCUUGUUGGUGGGGUAGUGGCUUACCAGGGCUUUGACGGGUAGCCGGCCUGGGAGGGUGACCGGCGACAGUGGGACUGAGAGACGGACCAGUCGCGUACGGGAGGCAGCAGUGGGGAAUAUUACGGAAUAGGGGGGAGCCUGAUGCGGCAGUGCCGCGAGCGGGAUGACGGCCUACGGGGUGUAAACCGCUUUGGCCUGUGACGAGGCGGGAGUGACGGUAAUGGGUAAAAAAGCACCGGCUAACUACGUG